RNAcentral lists this small nuclear RNA (310 nucleotides) under Callithrix jacchus (white-tufted-ear marmoset). RNAcentral describes it as "7SK RNA". It matches the Rfam family "7SK RNA". From Rfam's summary of the family: 7SK was discovered as an abundant small nuclear RNA in the mid-70s but a possible function has only recently been suggested. Two independent studies have found that 7SK RNA binds the CDK9/cyclin T complex (known as elongation factor P-TEFb). Lineage: Eukaryota; Metazoa; Chordata; Mammalia; Primates; Cebidae. The record is from Rfam by way of RNAcentral.
GGAUAUGAAGGCAAUCUGGCUGCAACAUCUGUCAUCCUAUUAAUUUCCAGGGUUGAUGCAGUGGAUCUGGCUGGCUAGGAAGGUGUCCCCUUCCUUUCUCACUGUUCCAUGUAUGCUCCUCCCAAAGCUGUGUGCUAAGUAAAAGAGGAUGACCAUCGCGGAUGGAGGAGGACCCAUCUUCAAUAAAGGGUAUGUGAGUAGCUGGGCUCCCCGGCUAGAACCUCCAAACAAUCUCUCAAGAAGAGAAAAAAAUCAACCACAUAAUAUUAUUCUUCACCUCUCUUUAUUAUUUAGUGAUUUAUUUUUGUUG